Mus musculus (house mouse) is the source of this 2387-nucleotide long non-coding RNA. RefSeq annotates it as predicted gene, 33435. NCBI's taxonomy places the organism in Eukaryota, Metazoa, Chordata, Mammalia, Rodentia, Muridae. The transcript has 3 exons. The record is from RefSeq and is a predicted model, not a curated record.
AUGACUUCACUUUGGUGAACAUGUGAAAAAUGAAUCAACUUCGUUUUCAGUUAACCUAGGAUUAUACAGGCAAUAAAGCAUGAUUAUGGAUUUAACAUGUUAAUUCCCAGAGGAUUUAAUAGCAGUGCUGUGAAAUACAUGACCAAUUGCUAACCCAUCUGACAAGCACACAGACAGCACUAACCAAGAUUAAAUCACUGGGCUCACAUGUGGAUGCAAUAUAUCUCUCGAGAUGAGAUGGCAUUAAGUUUUCAUCAAGGAGACGAUCCAGUUGUCUGGUUAUGGGAUGAAGCAUGAUGAUGGGAACAGAGGAGGACACAAUCUGAGAUGUUGAGCUGACACCUUAUUUUAGAAGAUGUCUUUAAGGAAAAUAACCUUUAACUUAUUUUAAUGAAUUUAAGGUCUGCCCCCAUGUAUUGUUGCUGUCAGGACUUACCAGUAGCUUGUAGCAUAUAGCAAAGAAUUCACACCCCUUAAGACAGUUUGUUCUUUCCAAAACAGAUUGCCAACAUACUCGAUUCUUCAUUGCCCUCUUGUAGUUCAACAUCUCUGUAGGUUCCUCCAAUGUGACCUCAAUUAGAAUCCAAAAUAACGAUUUUUAAAGUAAUAAAUUGUAUCAUGUAAAUAUUAAGGAGGGUGGAAACGGUACUUGGGAGAACCUGACUCAGUAAUUGCAGUUUGCAAACAGCAUUUGCAAACAAAGGUUAUGCAUACAACCAGCCCAUUUCAUUGCUACAUUACCUUUGACUAUUUUUUAUUAUAAGAUCAGAGUUAUACCAGACAGUAUAUCCCCAAAUGUCCGAACUAUCAUCUGCCCCCUUGAUGGAAAAAACGUCGCUGAUGCCUGACUAAGAAUGUUUUGUAAAUUCUAACUAAAUUGCAACGUGUUCUUUUCAAGAAUCCUUUAUUUUGCCUGCUUAUGUAAUCUCUUUUCUCUUUCAGUUUUCUAAAUCCUCACAGCCAAUGAAUGCUCUUACUACUUCCAAAGCAUGGUGAUAAUUAUAUAUGAAAGCAUGUGUUCUAACACAUAGCAGGACCUCAAAAGCAAGACUGCACUGCUGACGUGCCAGUGUUUUGCUAUUGUUUUACAUGAGAAACAGUAGAGUGUUUGUAAAGAUCACUGCCAUUGCUCUCAUUAUUUGGCCUCAGCUCUGCUGUUAUUAUCCACAUGAGCUCAGGCAAAUCCCUAAAGUCCUCUGUGCCUCAGUUUCUUUUUCUGUAAAACAGGGGUCAUGCCUGUAUACUCACAGUAUAAGAAUCCUGGCAAAAUUAAAAGAGAUACUGUUUGGGAGAUCAUUUGUCAACACAAAAGAGUUCCUUCCCUCUCCCCCUUGCCUCUGAGAGGGUAGCUCCCCAUCAGGAAUCUCCUGACCCUGUUGUAUCAAAUCUCUACAAGACUGGGCACAUCCUCUCUCACUGAGGCCAGACAAGGCAGCCCUCUGCUACUUAUGUGCAUGUAUGCUCUUUGGUUGGUGGUUCAGUCUCUGGGAGCUCCCAGGCAUCCAGAAAGGCGACCUAUGCCUCAAGGAGCAACUGCACCUAGAGCAUUGGAGAGUCAAGGACACAGAGAAAAACAUCUUUGAACCUAGGAGGCUUCGGCUGACCCACAGAGUCACAGAAGAUGCUGUGUGAAUUGAAGCUUGUGAAUUGAAAAUCAGUCACCUCCCUCCUCUCAGCUAACACAGAUGAACCCAUUAGCAUCAAAAGGACAAUGGAGAGUGGAUUUGGGAGUGAGGAAUUGGUUUUUAUCCUUACAAAUAAACAGAAGUGACCCCUUAGAACCUUCACCUCCAUGGUUAUGUUAGCAUUCUGGAUUAUGAAUGGAAAUGUGUUCUCAGCAGUGGAGAAGACUGGAUGUUACAGGUCCUCACUAUGUCUAGGUUAGAUUUGAAAAACUCAGUCAACCAUAAUAAGCUAUAAAAACACAAAACGUUUUCAGUUAGACCUGCACUUCUCUCUCAGCUCUGCUGUUUGGGAUGAUAUCUCUCUGAAACGCAUCCUCCCUCGUUGAAAACGCAAGCAUAAUUAAAGCCACCUUAUGUGUGAUGGAGUAAAGUGACAGGUUUUGGAGGUGUGUUUGCUAUGAGGUAUGAGACACUGAUAAGUGAAAAUAUGUGACUGCAAGAAAGUAAGUUGUAUCAACUGUAACAUAAGGUCACCCAAAUGGAGAUUUCCACAGAGGCCUGUCAUCUCAUAAACAGACUCUAAGGUAAUCCAACAUUACCACUCUAUAGUCGUGAUAAGUUGCUUGCAUAAGACCAUACAGGUUAUCUAAGAUCUCUCUAAGGACUGCUUUCCUUGUUUGAAGGUGAUCAUCUAUUUGGGCCACUGCUCUUACACGCGUUCGCAACCGGCCAGGAAGAACGCAACAAACCGGAAUCUUCUGC